RNAcentral lists this transfer RNA (72 nucleotides) under Dipodomys ordii (Ord's kangaroo rat). It matches the Rfam family "tRNA". From Rfam's summary of the family: Transfer RNA (tRNA) molecules are approximately 80 nucleotides in length. Their secondary structure includes four short double-helical elements and three loops (D, anti-codon, and T loops). The record is from Rfam by way of RNAcentral. Lineage: Eukaryota; Metazoa; Chordata; Mammalia; Rodentia; Heteromyidae.
GGAGGUAUGGUUCAAGUGGUCGAGCACCUGCCUAGUAAGUUCAAGACCUGGAUUCAAAUCCCAGUACCUCCA